UUGUUGUGUCCCUGAAGCGCGUUGGACUUUUGCUCCAAAGGUCGUGGGUUCGAAUCCCACCUUAAGAU
Non-coding RNA from Trichonephila inaurata madagascariensis, 68 nucleotides. The record is from the annotation of a GenBank genome assembly. NCBI's taxonomy places the organism in Eukaryota, Metazoa, Arthropoda, Arachnida, Araneae, Nephilidae.